RNAcentral lists this ribosomal RNA (1444 nucleotides) under metagenome. Its description in RNAcentral is "bacterial LSU rRNA". It matches the Rfam family "Bacterial large subunit ribosomal RNA", at positions 1242 to 2685 of the family's 2925-position model. The record is from RNAcentral.
CUAGGCCUGUGAAGGUGUCUGGUAACGGAUGCUGGAGGUAUCAGAAGUGCGAAUGCUGACAUGAGUAGCGUUAAAGGGGGUGAAAAGCCCCCUCGCCGUAAGCGCAAGGUUUUCUACGCAACGUUCAUCGGCGUAGAGUGAGUCGGCCCCUAAGGCGAGGCAGAGAUGCGUAGCUGAUGGGAAACAGGUCAAUAUUCCUGUACCGAUGUGUAGUGCGAUGUGGGGACGGAGAAGGUUAGCUCAGCCAACUGAUGGAUAUGUUGGUUCAAGCCUGUAGUCGUGCCCGGUAGGCAAAUCCGCCGGGCUUAGAUGAGGGGUGAUAACGAGGCUGCUUGCAGCCGAAGUGAGUGAUACCCUGCUUCCAGGAAAAGCCACUAAGCUUCAGCUACACACGACCGUACCGCAAACCGACACUGGUGCGCGAGAUGAGUAUUCUAAGGCGCUUGAGAGAACUCAGGAGAAGGAACUCGGCAAAUUGAUACCGUAACUUCGGGAGAAGGUAUGCCCCAAGUAGGUGAACCUGUACAAGGCGAGCCCAAAGGGGUUGCAAAAAAUCGGUGGCUGCGACUGUUUAAUAAAAACACAGCACUCUGCAAACACGAAAGUGGACGUAUAGGGUGUGACGCCUGCCCGGUGCUGGAAGAUUAAAUGAUGGGGUGCAAGCUCUUGACUGAAGUCCCAGUAAACGGCGGCCGUAACCAUAGCGGUCCUAAGGUAGCGAAAUUCCUUGUCGGGUAAGUUCCGACCUGCACGAAUGGCGUAACGAUGGCCACACUGUCUCCUCCUGAGACUCAGCGAAGUUGAAAUGUUUGUGAUGAUGCAAUCUCCCCGCGGAAAGACGGAAAGACCCCAUGAACCUUUACUGUAGCUUUGUAUUGGACUUUGAACAGAUCUGUGUAGGAUAGGUGGGAGGCUUUGAAGUGAGGUCGCUAGAUCUCAUAGAGCCAACGUUGAAAUACCACCCUGGUGUGUUUGAGGUUCUAACCUAGGUCCAUUAUCUGGAUCGGGGACAGUGCAUGGUAGGCAGUUUGACUGGGGCGGUCUCCUCCCAAAGCGUAACGGAGGAGUUCGAAGGUACGCUAGUUACGGUCGGACAUCGUGACGAUAGUGCAAUGGCAUAAGCGUGCUUAACUGCGAGACUGACAAGUCGAGCAGAUGCGAAAGCAGGACAUAGUGAUCCGGUGGUUCUGUAUGGAAGGGCCAUCGCUCAACGGAUAAAAGGUACUCUGGGGAUAACAGGCUGAUACCGCCCAAGAGUUCAUAUCGACGGCGGUGUUUGGCACCUCGAUGUCGGCUCAUCUCAUCCUGGGGCUGUAGCCGGUCCCAAGGGUAUGGCUGUUCGCCAUUUAAAGAGGUACGUGAGCUGGGUUUAAAACGUCGUGAGACAGUUUGGUCCCUAUCUUCCGUGGGCGCUGCAGAUUUGAGGAAGCCUGCUCCUAGUACC